CUGCAGACGCCGGAUCUCCCGGAUUAUCUAAUACCAAGACUAAAGAUGCGAUUCCAAGAUGUAGAGAAAGCACGGGAAUUUUAUAACAGAUACACUAGACACGCUGGUUUUGGAAUCAGGAAGACGGGAGGCAAUGACAACCACAAGCAUUUUGUUUGCACGUUCCAAGGGAAAUACACAACUUCUAUUUCAGAGGCUAACAGGAAGCGAAACAAAACAUCGUAGAGGACAGGCUGCAAUGCAAGAAGGAGGGUGAAGGUGCAGGAGGAUAACACAUGUGUGGCAGUGGACAUUGAGUAUAAUCAUAAUCACCAACUCAUGCAAACUGAUGGCAUGCUGGUAUUCUUGCACUCACACAAGAAUUAUGACCCCACUAUUCUGGAGUACGUAAAGCUCCUGCAGUACCAUGAUGUCAAGCAUACAACAAUCAUGUCCAUGCUAUCAGAAAAUGAAGAUGGAAGCUACUUCCGAAGCAUGACCGGACGAGACCUACUAAACCAGAAAGCCAUGAAUGCAAGGAAAGAUGAUUUGGAUGAUGUAUUGAAACUUGUAUCAUUCUUCAAAGACAUGAAGGCAAUCAAUGAUGAGUUUUUCUAUGACAUACAAGUAGACAAGGACAAGUCAAUUAAAAACAUUUUCUGGUCCAAUGCAAGCUGCCGAGGAGCGUAUCAAGACUUCGGCGAUUGCGUAACAUUCGACACAACUUACAAGAUCAACAGAUUUCAUAUGCCUCUGGGAGUGUUUGUUGGAACAAACCAUCACUUGCAGUCAACGAUAUUUGCUGUUGCCCUGAUCUGAGACAAAGAUGCAAAGUCAUUCAAGUGGUUGUUCGAUACAUUUGUACGGUGCAUGAACAACAAGCACCCAACUUGCAUUCCAACAGACCAGUGCCCCUCGAUGGCGAAAGCUAUACCACAAUCAUUCCCAAACACCGUCCACAGGCUAUGCCGUUGGCACAUCCUGGAGAAGUACAAGGAAUACCUCGCGUUGCUGUACAAAAUGUAUAAAACAUUCAAAGAGGAGUUCACAGCUAUAUUAAACUGGUUGCUGAUGCCAACAGAGUUUGAAACUGCCUGGGCUGAACUCGUGCACAAGUACAACCUGGAGAACGAUCAGAUGAUGAUGCAGCUGUGGAGUGAUAGGAAAAUGUGGAUUUCAGCAUAUUACAAGAACAUUUUCUGUGCUAGAAUGACUUGCACACAACGAAGCAAGAGCAUGAAUCACGUGCUCAAGAGAGGGUUUGUCAAGGGGACCCAGAACCUACACAAGUUUGCUAGGCGGGUAAAUGCCUGCAUACAAACUCGAAUGCAGAAGGAGAACGAGCAAACAAUGACCAGCAUGGUAUUAACACAAAAAAACAUCCCCAUCAUAUUGUGA
This 1377-nucleotide ribosomal RNA is filed under the name Triticum aestivum (bread wheat). Its description in RNAcentral is "partial small subunit ribosomal RNA". The record is from RNAcentral. Lineage: Eukaryota; Viridiplantae; Streptophyta; Magnoliopsida; Poales; Poaceae.